ACGGUACCUGCAGAAGAAGCCCCGGCUAACUACGUGCCAGCAGCCGCGGUAAUACGUAGGGGGCAAGCGUUGUCCGGAUUCAUUGGGCGUAAAGAGCUCGUAGGCGGUUCAGUAAGUCGGGUGUGAAAGCUCCGAGCUCAACUCGGAGAGGCCACCCGAUACUGCUGUGACUUGAGUCCAGUAGAGGAGCGUGGAACUCCUGGUGUAGCGGUGGAAUGCGCAGAUAUCAGGAAGAACACCUGCAGCGAAGGCGGCGCUCUGGGCUGGAACUGACGCUGAGGAGCGAAAGCGUGGGUAGCAAACAGGAUUAGAUACCCUGGUAGUCCACGCCGUAAACGUUGGGCACUAGGUGUGGGGAGCCGUCAACGCUCUCUGUGCCGUAGCUAACGCAUUAAGUGCCCCGCCUGGGGAGUACGGCCGCAAGGCUAAAACUCAAAGGAAUUGACGGGGGCCCGCACAAGCGGCGGAGCAUGUUGCUUAAUUCGAGGCAACGCGAAGAACCUUACCUAGGUUGAACUAUGCAGGAAAAGCCACAGAGAUGUGGUGUCCUUCGGG
RNAcentral lists this ribosomal RNA (555 nucleotides) under uncultured bacterium. Its description in RNAcentral is "bacterial SSU rRNA". It matches the Rfam family "Bacterial small subunit ribosomal RNA", at positions 472 to 1024 of the family's 1533-position model. The record is from RNAcentral.